This 85-nucleotide transfer RNA is filed under the name Felis catus (domestic cat). It matches the Rfam family "tRNA". From Rfam's summary of the family: Transfer RNA (tRNA) molecules are approximately 80 nucleotides in length. Their secondary structure includes four short double-helical elements and three loops (D, anti-codon, and T loops). Further hydrogen bonds mediate the characteristic L-shaped molecular structure. tRNAs have two regions of fundamental functional importance: the anti-codon, which is responsible for specific mRNA codon recognition, and the 3' end, to which the tRNAs corresponding amino acid is attached (by aminoacyl-tRNA synthetases). tRNAs cope with the degeneracy of the genetic code in two manners: having more than one tRNA (with a specific anti-codon) for a particular amino acid; and 'wobble' base-pairing, i.e. permitting non-standard base-pairing at the 3rd anti-codon position. Lineage: Eukaryota; Metazoa; Chordata; Mammalia; Carnivora; Felidae. The record is from Rfam by way of RNAcentral.
ACCUAAGUGGCUCUGUCAGUAGAGCGUCUGACUGCAGCUCAGGUCAUGAUCUCACAGCUUGUGAGUUCGAUCCCCACUUUGGGCU